ACUGCUGAAAACCCCGAUGAGAUCAAGAUUGACAGAUGAACAUUUGCAUCAGUGCUUGAGACUGGCUGUAACUAGAAUGGAACCUGAUAUUCAACUUCUCACCAGCCAGAUGCAGGCCCACAGUUCACACUGAUGAACAUACAUAGGGAAGUUGAUGAGAGAGAGCUGCAAACAGCGGUGUCUACAAGCCUACUGGAACCUACAAAAGGAUUAUAAGGAAGGAACACAAGAACUUUAAGAGACUGCUCAUAUGUGUCAGAGAGAUUCUGCUCUGACAACUGAGCUGAACUUUUAUCUGUUAAGAUUGUGCAUGGCACGACAGAAAGUUAAUGUUCCAUGGCUUUUUUUUUCUAUGAAGAACCCAGAGAGAGUUAUUUAGUUAUUAUUUAUUUCCUGUUUUUUUCUGUGAAGAACUCAGAGAGGGUUAUUUAGUUAUUAUUUAUUUCAUUAAUAGUGUUAUUAUUUGUUUCCUGACUUUUUUUCUGUAAAGAACCUGGAAAGGGUUAUUUGGUUAUGUGUGGCUUUCUGGAAAACAAUACAUUUUUUAAGCUCC
Molecule: long non-coding RNA, 553 nt
Organism: Oncorhynchus nerka (sockeye salmon)
Lineage: Eukaryota; Metazoa; Chordata; Actinopteri; Salmoniformes; Salmonidae
Exons: 2
Source: RefSeq, a predicted model, not a curated record